This 490-nucleotide ribosomal RNA is filed under the name uncultured bacterium. RNAcentral describes it as "partial 16S ribosomal RNA". It matches the Rfam family "Bacterial small subunit ribosomal RNA", at positions 30 to 507 of the family's 1533-position model. The record is from RNAcentral.
AUUGAACGCUGGCGGCAUGCUUUACACAUGCAAGUCGAACGGCCGCGCGGUGGUCUUUGCCCUACUGCGUUCGAGGGGCGCAGGUGAGUGACAUAUAGCUGAACGUCCCGAGUAAUGGGGGUUACCUAAUCGAAAGAGUGCCUAAUCCCGCAAACGUUCCGAAGCAGAAAGUGGGGGAUCGAAAGACCUCGCGUUUUUCAAGUGGACAUUAACUGAUUAGCUAGUUGGUGGGGUAAAGGCCUACCAAGGCGACGAUCAGUAGCGGGUCUGAGAGGUCGAUCGGCCACACUGGAACUGAGACACGGCCCAGACUCCUACGGGAGGCAGCAGUGGGGAAUUUUGGGCAAUGGGGGAAAGCCUGAUCGAGCAACGCCGCGUGAAUGAAGAAGGCCUUCGGGUCGUAAAGCUCUUUUGUUAGGGAAGAAAAAAGAAGUACUUAUCCCACUAUUUGCUGACGGUACCUAAAGAAUAAGCACCGGCUAACUACGUG